GCGGGAGUAAUUCAAUGGUAGAAUAUCAGCUUCCCAAGCUGGUAACGCGGGUUCGAUUCCCGUCUCCCGCUCCA
RNAcentral lists this transfer RNA (74 nucleotides) under Lentisphaerales bacterium. RNAcentral describes it as "tRNA-Gly". It matches the Rfam family "tRNA". Rfam says of the family: Transfer RNA (tRNA) molecules are approximately 80 nucleotides in length. Their secondary structure includes four short double-helical elements and three loops (D, anti-codon, and T loops). The record is from RNAcentral. Lineage: Bacteria; Pseudomonadati; Lentisphaerota; Lentisphaeria; Lentisphaerales. RNAcentral also lists the same sequence under 1 other name.